CCUUGGGAUCUGUGCUGGGCACAGAAGGUGUUUCCAUUGCUCUGAGACUGUCUGCUGUGCAAAGUGGAUUUAAUAGCCAGCAGAGGAAUGACUUUUGCAUUUGAUGGAGCUGUGCCUUCCCUUGGCUUUGUUGGCUGGCAAUAAAUGAACAUCCCUCUGUGUCUGGGGCAGCUCCUUCUCCAAGGAAAGCAGGUGGGAGUUGGAGCCAAGGAGCUGAAACCUGCAGGUGCAGCCUGGGCUGGAGGGAGCUCAGAUUUGCACAAGGCUGCUCUGAGUGCCAGGGCUUGGAUGGGGGAAAUGGUGGGGUGGGGGCAGGGACAGAGUCUGAUGGAUUGUCAGCCACAAAGGGUCUUGAUUUUCAUAUCUAUUCCAACUGCAUGAGGAGGCACUUGGAUUCAGUGUCAAUUGGAGAUUUCACACAUCAAUUUAUUAGGAGUAAAAAAAACUAAACAGGACCUGAAGAAAUCUUUUCUCACUGUCCUUUUAAAUAUAGUGUAAUCAACCACAAGAGAUUUGAAAACUUAAAUGAUUCCCAGGGCUUGGCUUGUUAAGGUGUUCUGAAUGUUAAUGAGCCCUGGGGCACUGAAUUCCUGCACUGAGGAGCUGAAGGCUGAAGAAGCCUCUGGAGCAGUAAAAUUCAGCAGCAGCCUCCAAGUUGCUGAGGAUGUCAGCAGCCCCCACUGAGGCCAUCCCUGCCCAGAGACCCUGGGGGAAUGGGCAGACAAGGAGAGCGUCCCUGGGGCUGGGGCAGCAGAACUCAGAGGCACCAGCGGCUCCAGCUGGGAAAUGGAGUGUGGGAUGGGGCUGUGAAAGCCCUGCCUGGGCUGUGCCAAGCAGGACACACAAGCCCUGACCCCCAUCCCCUAAAAAACUCUCUCAAUGGGACAUUUAAAAGGAAUUACAAUUGGUUCUGUCCUCUGAGUUGGAUGCACUGAAGAAAUACCAACAAGAGAUUCUCAGGAGCUCAAAACAAUAAAACAGCCUUUCUGGCAACAUAGAAGAUAAGAGAAACUUUGGGAAAAGGUUUAAUAGGUCAUUAAAUCAACAAAAAACAUUUCUCAAAGCAUUAAUCCUCGGAUGUAGGGAGUUUUGGAGGUGGAAUCCCAGUUUUGGCCAUGACAGGAUGAAUGAUUUUUUCCUAUAGGAAAGAGAAGUGCAAGUCCAAGUGUUCUGGAAGAAGAUGAGAGGUGGGCACCCUUAGGCCAAGCCAGCCAGACCUGUCUCUCCUGACACCUUUCGUCUAGGGGCUAUCCUUGGACACAGGGCAUUUUGGAGGUGGAAUCUCAAUUUUGGCUGUGGGUUCCUGGAUAGGAAGAAUUAUUUACAUUAGGAAGAAAAGAACAGAGCCCCGGUGUUUCAGAGGCACAUGAAUGCCAGCCCUCAGGAAGCCAAGGCCAGCCAGACUUGUCAGUCCUGGCAGCUUCUGUCUGGGAGCUAUCCUUGGAUAUAGGGAAUUCUGGAGGCAGAUCCUCAGUUUUGGCCAUGGGUGCCUGGUGGAGAUGGAUGGUUUUUUUCUCAUAAGAAAGAAAAGCACACGGUCCCAGUGUUUCAAAGGCAGAUGAGAGGUGACCCUUGGGUGGUCAAGGCAGCCAGACCUGUCUCUCCUGGCAGAUUUCAUCUGGAAACAAUCCUUUUACAUAAGGAAAUUUGGAGAAGAAAUCCCAGUUUUGGCCCUGGUUCCCUGGAGGAGAAGGACAGUUCUCUCCCAUGGGAAGGAAAGCCCAGAGCCCCAGGGCUUCAGGGGCAGAUGAGAAGCAGCCCUUGACAUGCCAAGGUCAGCCAGACCUGUCAGGUGGUCCCCAGGAGGCCCAGCCAGCCAGACCUGUUCCAUGUUCCCUUGGUUCCAUGGACCCCACAGUGUCACAAUGGUCUCCUUGGUUCCAUGAGGCCCUGGAGUGUCACAAUGUUCCCCUUGCUUCUGCAGUGUCACAAUGGCCCCGUGCUUCCAUGAGGCCUUGCAGUGUCACAAUGGCUUCGUGGUUCCACAGAGCCCUGAUGUGUCACAAUGGCCCCUGGGCUCCGUGUGCCCUCGCUGUGUCACAGCGGCUCCUCUGUGACACUGCGGCUGCACAAGGUCACCAUGGACCCUUGGUUCCUUGGGGUCACCGAGUUCACAAUGGUCUCCUUGAUUCCAUGAGGCAGCACAGUGUCACAAUGGCCCCUUGGUUCCAUGAGGUUCUGUAGUGCCACCAUGGUGUCCUUGGACCCACAUUGUCACAACUGACCCACGGUUCCAUGAGGUUCUGCAGUGUCACUGUAGCAGUCAGAGGCCCUGCAAGGCCUCCCUGGCGGUCACUCACCUAAGAUAAGAAAUGCCUAAGUCACGGUGACUGGACCAAAGAAGCCCCUCUUCUGCAUUCAGACCCUUCUUAUCUCUCUUUUGGCAGAAGAACUGUCACUGCAUCCCUUCAGAGGAGCUGGCAAUAAAGGACAUCGCUGUGGAACCACA
This is a non-coding RNA of Taeniopygia guttata (zebra finch), 2449 nucleotides long. Lineage: Eukaryota; Metazoa; Chordata; Aves; Passeriformes; Estrildidae. The record is from RefSeq and is a predicted model, not a curated record.